GCCCUGGUGGUGAAAUUGGCAGACACGCAGGACUUAAAAUCCUGUAACCGAUGAGGUUGUACCGGUUCAAGUCCGGUCCGGGGUACAA
Molecule: transfer RNA, 88 nt
Filed under: Chitinophagaceae bacterium
Lineage: Bacteria; Pseudomonadati; Bacteroidota; Chitinophagia; Chitinophagales; Chitinophagaceae
Description: tRNA-Leu
Rfam family: tRNA
About the family: Transfer RNA (tRNA) molecules are approximately 80 nucleotides in length. Their secondary structure includes four short double-helical elements and three loops (D, anti-codon, and T loops). Further hydrogen bonds mediate the characteristic L-shaped molecular structure. tRNAs have two regions of fundamental functional importance: the anti-codon, which is responsible for specific mRNA codon recognition, and the 3' end, to which the tRNAs corresponding amino acid is attached (by aminoacyl-tRNA synthetases). tRNAs cope with the degeneracy of the genetic code in two manners: having more than one tRNA (with a specific anti-codon) for a particular amino acid; and 'wobble' base-pairing, i.e. permitting non-standard base-pairing at the 3rd anti-codon position.
Source: RNAcentral